This is a non-coding RNA of Ceratotherium simum simum (southern white rhinoceros), 93 nucleotides long. The record is from RefSeq and is a predicted model, not a curated record. Lineage: Eukaryota; Metazoa; Chordata; Mammalia; Perissodactyla; Rhinocerotidae.
AUUUUGUUCCUGUCCAGUACACUCUAUGAUGUUCACAUAAUGAAGAAAUUGCCUGACGACGCAGUUCUCAGAAUGUUAUCCCCAUCGUUAAGC